UCCGGGACCCCUCACUCAGUGCAGAGGGAAAUUGACACAGCCAUGAUGAGGCCUGGCUCACAAGAGCCAUAGUUACUGUAGGAGUUUCUGUGGCUAAAUAUGCUUAGCUAUUGAGGCAAGGACAUGUGCUGGAUGUGUAUGCAGUCUUUGAAGCUGGAGAGGCCUGUGUUGGAAACUGUGCUCUGUCCCAUGCCAGUUCCCUGACCUUGGGGGACGACCCAGACCAUCAUUCUUCUCUGGUCUGCCACCUUCAUCCUCCACUUGCAGCCUCCUUUGCAGUGACCAUACAGGUGCAGAGCAUGAGCAGGAUGCACAGGGGUUUAUGUGGUCAGGCCUGCCUGGAGUUGGCACAUAGCAUUUCUGCUUCCAUUCUUAGGUCUGAAAUCCAGGUCACAGAGCCCUAACAUAACUACAAAGGAUCCUGAAAAGUGUUGUAUUCCAGUGUGCCUCGGAAAAGAAAAUAGGAUUAAUAAACUUUGAUUAGACUAAAUCAUUGA
This 497-nucleotide long non-coding RNA is filed under the name Homo sapiens (human). Its description in RNAcentral is "HSALNT0027557". Lineage: Eukaryota; Metazoa; Chordata; Mammalia; Primates; Hominidae. The record is from RNAcentral.